This is a long non-coding RNA of Patiria miniata (bat star), 1268 nucleotides long. RefSeq lists it as uncharacterized. The transcript has 2 exons. The record is from RefSeq and is a predicted model, not a curated record. NCBI's taxonomy places the organism in Eukaryota, Metazoa, Echinodermata, Asteroidea, Valvatida, Asterinidae.
AGCAAUGCCCACAGCAGCGAAUCAGAAAUGCCUGUGUAUGUGUAAGUCUGAUCUCGGUGUUUGAUGUCACACAGGUUUGUUUAUGCACGAAGAUGAUGCGGCAGAAUUGAAAUGUUUGCUGAAUGAAAUAUUAUUGAAAUAAUGUAGCAGCAGGACUACACUAGGAGCUAGCUUUUGCAUUCGGCUGUUUGGUUGUACUACGAGCAUUCAAGAAUACGACUGUUCGGGAUAAAUCAUGAUUCACUUCAGUAAACAGAGUCAAGAUAUCAUUGUUUCUUUGGUUCUUGCAAUUGUCGUUUUGGCAGUGUGGGCCCAUGUCAUCAUCGCUGGAAGGACCGCAGCCCUACGGGUGUACCCAGAGCUUGGUCAACCACCUGCCUGAACAAAGACUCCUUGCACUAGUACCCCCUCAAUGGUGAAAAUGAGCCCGAGUACCGGCUUUUGAAGGACCAUUGGGCACCAUACCGGUGUGUUUUGCUUGUUUAAACAAUGGACAGUGUGUGUGGGAACCAGCGAAGUGUCCUUCACAAGCUCUCCUUGCUGGAAUCAACAGCGCCCUCUGUUGUACAUGCACCGAGUCCUCAGGUGUGUGUUUGACACAUGAAGACAGCAAUGAAUUCAACCCAUCGGUUCAUCAAAACCAACAAAGUGUCCUUCACAGGCUCUCCUUGCUGGACUCAACAGCGCCCUCUGUUGUACAUGCACUGAGUCCUCAGGUGUGUGUUUGACACAUGAAGACAGCAAUGAAUUCAGCCCAUCGGUCCGUCAAAACCAGCAAUUGUCCUUCCUUGCUAGGUUCAACAGCGCCCUCGUUUGCUGAUUCACAGUAAUGCUUGACACUUGAUGACAGCCAUGAUUUCAGCCAACAGUUCCAUCUGUGAUUUGCUCUUCGGGGAAGUGUUCAUCAAAAGAAUGACUCACUUCAUCAUUAAUCAGUCAAUAUCUGAGUGACUGUUGCUGAUGAAAUUUAGUAUGUGCAAGAUGAUUAGAACAUGUACAUGUAUGUGCAAGAUUGAGUUUUGCCCGUCACAUAUGUAGUUUCAUGAGCACUAUAAACAGUGCUGUUGGAGAGCUUGCGUAGAAUUCCCAAGGUUGCAAGGGUGGGAUUUGAACCUAUGACGAAAUCAUGUACAUUUUGUCCACUGGGCCCUUGAAGAUUUUUGAGUGUUAUUUAUGUUUAAAAAUCCAAUUAAUGUGUUUCUUUGGAAAUGUGUGUUUUGUAGCUGAUGCUUCAUGAAGAAUAAAAAAGAAAUUUGCAAUGAACACAU